AGCCCGGUGGUGUAGCGGUCAAGCAUAUGGGGCUUUGGACCCCGAGACCCUGGUUCGAAUCCGGGCCGGGCUA
RNAcentral lists this transfer RNA (73 nucleotides) under Candidatus Helarchaeota archaeon. RNAcentral describes it as "tRNA-Gln". It matches the Rfam family "tRNA". Rfam says of the family: Transfer RNA (tRNA) molecules are approximately 80 nucleotides in length. Their secondary structure includes four short double-helical elements and three loops (D, anti-codon, and T loops). The record is from RNAcentral. Lineage: Archaea; Promethearchaeati; Candidatus Helarchaeota.